GGUGAACGCUGGCGGCAUGCUUUACACAUGCAAGUCGAACGGCAGCACGGACUUCGGUCUGGUGGCGAGUGGCGAACGGGUGAGUAACAUAUCGGAACGUAUCCAAUAAUGGGGGAUAACGAGUCGAAAGAUUCGCUAAUACCGCAUACGCCCUACGGGGGAAAGCUGGGGACCUUCGGGCCUGGCGUUAAUGGAGCGGCCGAUAUCUGAUUAGCUAGUUGGUGAGGUAAAGGCUCACCAAGGCGACGAUCAGUAGCUGGUCUGAGAGGACGACCAGCCACACUGGAACUGAGACACGGUCCAGACUCCUACGGGAGGCAGCAGUGGGGAAUUUUGGACAAUGGGCGCAAGCCUGAUCCAGCCAUUCCGCGUGAGUGAAGAAGGCCUUCGGGUUGUAAAGCUCUUUCGCAAGGGAAGAAAACUUAGCCACUAACAUUGGUUGAGGUUGACGGUACCUUGAUAAGAAGCACCGGCUAACUACGUGCCAGCCGCCGCCGUAA
This 500-nucleotide ribosomal RNA is filed under the name uncultured bacterium. RNAcentral describes it as "partial 16S ribosomal RNA". It matches the Rfam family "Bacterial small subunit ribosomal RNA", at positions 28 to 523 of the family's 1533-position model. The record is from RNAcentral.